Molecule: long non-coding RNA, 1047 nt
Filed under: Parus major (Great Tit)
Lineage: Eukaryota; Metazoa; Chordata; Aves; Passeriformes; Paridae
Description: lncRNA (ENSPMJG00000006356.1)
Source: RNAcentral
AUGAAAUUCGGCAGAUGUCGGGAGCGCAGAUCAAAAUCGCCAACGCCACAGAAGGAUCAUCGGAGCGCCAAAUUACCAUCACAGGAACCCCUGCAAACAUCAGCCUCGCGCAGUACCUCAUCAACGCCAGGUGAGCCCGCCUCCCGCCUCGGCCGAUCCCGGCCCGCCUCGGCCGAUCCCGGCCCGCCAGCGAGCUGGGAGCAAUCCGUGCUUCCGGUGCCAUGGGUCAGCAGGGGCUUCCCAAGGCCGGCUGGGAUGGACGAUGUCUUGCUGAGACCUCUGAGCAGGGACCAGAUAUCGCCAGCAGGACAUCUCCUCCCAGCCGGCACUUUGGCUGGAGACCGGGAGCCGUCACGCUGCUGGCGGAGUUCCGCCGGGCUCCUGCCCUUCCCGCCGCCUUCGCUGAAGGAUUUUGCUCGGGGGUGGGCAAAGUUGCCGCCGUCUUUGCCUCUGGACGAGGCCGGGGAUGGGGACAGGAGCAGAGCUGAGCCGGUGGCAGGGAGGCGUCACUUGGGAGCUGCUUGCUGGCGUCCCAGCAUCGCUUACUGCUUUCCACGUGCUUCCAGGCCUCCCAAAGGCUUUUCUCCAUUCAGUGAAAACUGUCAGUCCAAUAAACGCAGGACAUGGGAACGGCCCGACUGCUUCCUUUCCAUCAUGAAAAGCUUGGCACUGCAGGACUUCACGGGCGCCAAGGGUUCGCAGCACUGCCGCUGGCUGGGGGGAGACGCAGCACAUGCCAUGGGGGGCCGAGGGCCGGCAAGGGCCUGCGAGGGGAGCGUGCAGGGGAGGCGUAGCUGCAGAGAAGAGCUGGGAAUCUGCUUCCUGCAGGCAGCAAGCUGUGUCCAGGCUGCUUGCUCAGACCUGUUUGCCCGUGCCUGCGGACGCAUGGAGAGCGAGUUUAAAGGGAUACAGGACCUUCCUGGUAGCUUUGUGCCUGCCUGGCAGAGCCACUCAGACGGGCCCAUCCGCCUGGGCAGGACCGAUGCCGUGCCAACCCGCCGCCAGCCCCGGAUGCACGCAGGAGGGAGGCUGCUGGCAGCGCCCUGA